GACGAACGCUGGCGGGGGGAGGAAAAAAGGAAAGUCGAAAGAUGAAGCUUGGUGCUUGCAGGGGGUGGAUGAGUGGCGAACGGGUGAGUAAUACGUGAGUAACCUGCCCUUGACUCUGGGAUAAGCCUGGGAAACUGGGUCUAAUACUGGAUAUGACAUGCCACUGCAUGGUGGUGUGUGGCAAGGGUUUUACUGGUUUUGGCUGGGCUCACGGCCUAUCAGCUUGUUGGUGGGGUAAUGGCCUACCAAGGCGACGACGGUUAGCCGGCCUGAGAGGGUGACCGGCCACACUGGGACUGAGACACGGCCCAGACUCCUACGGGAGGCAGCAGUGGGGAAUAUUGCACAAUGGGCGGAAGCCUGAUGCAGCGACGCCGCGUGAGGGAUCCCGCCCUUCGGGUUGUAAACCUCUUUCAGCACGGAAGAAGCGAGAGUGACGGUACGUGCAGAAGAAGCGCCGGCUCCCUACGUU
This 472-nucleotide ribosomal RNA is filed under the name uncultured bacterium. RNAcentral's name for it is "partial 16S ribosomal RNA". It matches the Rfam family "Bacterial small subunit ribosomal RNA", at positions 28 to 507 of the family's 1533-position model. The record is from RNAcentral.